Molecule: small nucleolar RNA, 102 nt
Organism: Meriones unguiculatus (Mongolian gerbil)
Lineage: Eukaryota; Metazoa; Chordata; Mammalia; Rodentia; Muridae
Gene: SNORA72
Rfam family: Small nucleolar RNA SNORA72
About the family: U72 is a member of the H/ACA class of snoRNAs.
Source: Ensembl
ACCCCAAUUUUUUAAAACAAAUCUGAGGGGGAAAAAAUGACCAUAUGUGUUGCCAGAGAUAGUUCUUCCCUAGGUCUGGUUUUACAAAUUCUGGUAAUAAAC